RNAcentral lists this small nuclear RNA (120 nucleotides) under Neogale vison (American mink). Its description in RNAcentral is "Neovison vison (American mink) U4 spliceosomal RNA (ENSNVIG00000003845.1)". The stretch from base 1 to 71 matches the Rfam family "U4 spliceosomal RNA". From Rfam's summary of the family: U4 small nuclear RNA (U4 snRNA) is a component of the major U2-dependent spliceosome. The structure of U4 snRNA from yeast and human has been reported. The record is from RNAcentral. Lineage: Eukaryota; Metazoa; Chordata; Mammalia; Carnivora; Mustelidae.
AGCUUUGCGCAGUGGCAGUAUCGUAGCCAAUGAGGUUUAUCCGAGGCGCGAUUAUUGCUAAUUGGAAAGUGGAGAAACCAUCCUCCUCCCCACAAGAGUGAAGCUUAGACUUAGGAAAGA